This 285-nucleotide unclassified non-coding RNA is filed under the name Hevea brasiliensis (rubber tree). The record is from RNAcentral. Lineage: Eukaryota; Viridiplantae; Streptophyta; Magnoliopsida; Malpighiales; Euphorbiaceae.
GGCAGCAUACAUUCAGCCCAAUUAGCAAUAUUACAAACGAAAUCAAACCAGGACCUAAAAAGUUCGGUGUCAAACCAGAAGUUGCCGCUAAAUUAGAUACAAGACCACCUCCAUCCGACAUAUUAGAAAAAGCCAAAGCUGCCAUUGCUUCAGCUGAGCGCGCCACUGCAGCAGCCCGAGUAGCUGCUGAACUAGCAAAUGUCAACCUUGGAGCAAUGAAGUUAGAAGGCGGACAAACUUCGGAGUGUUGAAGACAAAAAGAAAGGUAAUUUAUACAUUUGUUUG